GCCAUCUGGCAAUAGGGUUACUCUGCAUAUAGUAUACAGAAGUCAGGAAAUGAUAAGCGGAAUUAAAACAGGAGUAAUUUUCCAAUCCAGAUGCAUAUGAUCCUUUAAUGCUCUUGCAACCCAUCAUUAAGCACCAAAAUCAGCUAACCUGUUGCAGGAACAUCAUAAUAUCACUGCAUGCAUGUCCAACAGAAAGCACAAAA
RNAcentral lists this unclassified non-coding RNA (203 nucleotides) under Hevea brasiliensis (rubber tree). Lineage: Eukaryota; Viridiplantae; Streptophyta; Magnoliopsida; Malpighiales; Euphorbiaceae. The record is from RNAcentral.